UGGGGAAUUUUGGACAAUGGGCGAAAGCCUGAUCCAGCAAUGCCGCGUGUGUGAAGAAGGCCUUCGGGUUGUAAAGCACUUUUGUCCGGAAAGAAAUCCUUGGCUCUAAUACAGUCGGGGGAUGACGGUACCGGAAGAAUAAGCACCGGCUAACUACGUGCCAGCAGCCGCGGUAAUACGUAGGGUGCAAGCGUUAAUCGGAAUUACUGGGCGUAAGCGUGCGCAGGCGGUUUGCUAAGACCGAUGUGAAAUCCCCGGGCUCACCUGGGAACUGCAUUGGUGACUGGCAGGCUAGAGUAUGGCAGAGGGGGGUAGAAUUCCACGUGUAGCAGUGAAAUGCGUAGAGAUGUGGAGGAAUACCGAUGGCGAAGGCAGCCCCCUGGGCCAAUACUGACGCUCAUGCACGAAAGCGUGGGGAGCAAACAGGAUUAGUACCCUGGUAGUCCACGCCCUAAACGAUGUCACUAGUUGUUGGGGAUUCAUUCCUUAGUAACGUAGCUAA
RNAcentral lists this ribosomal RNA (502 nucleotides) under uncultured bacterium. Its description in RNAcentral is "partial 16S ribosomal RNA". It matches the Rfam family "Bacterial small subunit ribosomal RNA", at positions 355 to 855 of the family's 1533-position model. The record is from RNAcentral.